Molecule: ribosomal RNA, 347 nt
Filed under: uncultured bacterium
Lineage: Bacteria
Description: bacterial SSU rRNA
Rfam family: Bacterial small subunit ribosomal RNA
Source: RNAcentral
AGCGAACGCUGGCGGCAGGCUUAACACAUGCAAGUCGAGCGGGCGCAGCAAUACGUCAGCGGCAGACGGGUGAGUAACGCGUGGGAACGUACCUUUUGGUUCGGAACAACACAGGGAAACUUGUGCUAAUACCGGAUAAGCCCUUACGGGGAAAGAUUUAUCGCCGAAAGAUCGGCCCGCGUCUGAUUAGCUAGUUGGUGGGGUAAAAGCCUACCAAGGCAACGAUCCGUAGCUGGUCGAGAGGACGACCAGCCACACUGGAACUGAGACACGGUCCAGACUCCUACGGGAGGCAGCAGUGGGGAAUUUUGGACAAUGGGCGCAAGCCUGAUCCAGCCAUGCCGCGU